AGGAAUGAAUGAAAAGCUGAAUCAGCGGGCCUUAAAGAGUGACUGGAAUUAAUUUGUUCAACAAUAUUUAUUUUGCUGUGCAUAAAAGACAGUAGAAGUGAUUUGAAGUCCUUACUGGUCUACUCCAAGUACUUUGUCAGGAAGAAUGGAGCAGAUUUUUCAGUAAUAAAUCCAAGUGUUUUAUUUUGUGCAGUACUUUUGAGAGGACUUAGAAAGAAUACUGAAUGAAAGAAACCAAGAGGAAAAUAUCAUAAAGGG
RNAcentral lists this long non-coding RNA (258 nucleotides) under Anas platyrhynchos platyrhynchos (common mallard). RNAcentral describes it as "lncRNA (ENSAPLG00000028220.1)". The record is from RNAcentral. Lineage: Eukaryota; Metazoa; Chordata; Aves; Anseriformes; Anatidae.